Molecule: long non-coding RNA, 1410 nt
Filed under: Daucus carota (carrot)
Lineage: Eukaryota; Viridiplantae; Streptophyta; Magnoliopsida; Apiales; Apiaceae
Description: long non-coding RNA (DCAR_LNC000280)
Source: RNAcentral
CGCAACCCAUCAAACUAAUCCUCAACAAACUACACCUAAUGGUCAGACGGGCGUAACUACUCAAACCACUCCCCACGGUCAUACGGGUGCGAACCCCCAAGCCAAUACUCAACAAACUGUCCCUGUCAUCACAACCCUCAGCAAACCACUCCCAUCACGACCAACCAACAGACCACUGCAACCCAACAACAAACACCCACGGGUACGCAAACGACCCUUGCUACGACAGUCAUUCAAACCCCAAGCGGCAACACCAAUACUGUGACCACACCUAUCACUACCCUAGCUAAUAAUACCGGCACAACGGUUACACCCAUUACUACCCAAACGACUACGCAAACUAUCCCUGGACUCGGAGCCAUCAAUGGAGAAGACCUUAAGAAACUGCUUGCCCUCCUACAAGCUGGACACUCCACCGCGGUACCGAACAUCCCUUCACCGUUUACCGCUGCAGUUCGUGACGCCCAACUUCCAACGGGAUUCAGACAUGUGAAUGCAGACCUUCGAUACCAUGGCAAUUCGGACCCUCGGGAAUUCUUAAUCAGGUUCAACAUUGAGAUGGACUUGUAUCAAAUCCCAGACCUCGUCAGGUGUAGGUUCCUCGCGGCAAGUCUGAGGGAAAGCGCUCAGCAAUGGUUUCAGAAAUUAGGGGAAGGUGUGAUCUCUUCUUGGGUAGACAUGCAGCGAAUGUUCAUGAUGCAGUUUCAAGCCGCAACCAAAUACGCCCCACCGCAGAACCUACCGGGGAGUAAGAGGUAGAGGCAGAGACCAUACAUCGGUCGGAGGAAGAGGUCGCGGACCACCCAUAAUUGAAUACCUCCCUUCGCAGAGCGAGUCUGGCCAGCACACGCCAAACCAGCUAGGUCGAAGAAGGUCGCGCCCCCUCAAUGGUAACACGGGCGCAACCCACCAAACCAAUCCUCAACAAACUACACCUAAUGGCCAGACGGGCGUGACCACUCAAACCACUCCUCACGGUCAUACGGGCACGAACCCUCAAGGCAAUGCUCAGCAAACUAUUCCUAUCAUCACUAAUACUCAACAAACUGUCCCUGUCAUCACCAACCCUCAGCAAACCACUCCCAUCACGACCAACCAACAGGCCACUGCAACCCAACAACAAACACCCACGGGUACGCAGACGACCCUUGCUACAGCAGUUAUUCAAACCCCAGGCGGCAACACCAAUACUAUGACCACACCUAUCACUACCCUAGCUAAUAAUACCGGCACGGCGGUUACACCCAUUACUACCCAAACAACUACGCAAACUAUCCCUGGACUCGGAGCCAUCAAUGGAGAAGACCUUAAGAAACUGCUUGCCCUCCUACAAGCUGGGCACUCCACCGCAGUACCGAACAUCCCUUCACCAUUUACCGCUGCAGUUCGUGACGCCCAACUUCCAACGGG